Oncorhynchus tshawytscha (Chinook salmon) is the source of this 2308-nucleotide long non-coding RNA. The record is from Ensembl. Lineage: Eukaryota; Metazoa; Chordata; Actinopteri; Salmoniformes; Salmonidae.
AUACCGAAUGGUGAGUAUUUUGUAAGUCAACUUUUGGGGUGCAUCGGAGAGGGAGAGGUGGGUGACGCUGGGCGCGUCAUCCUUUCCGCUCCGCUCUGCGGCUUUAGGGAAUGUUUUUCGAACAUGUCGAAUGAAGACAUAACAGAGAGAAUGCCUGCUUAAUCUGGAAGCCAGCCACUCCACUGUGUCAGAGGAAACACCGUACACCUGGCGAAUGUGUCAGCGUGCAUGCACCUGGCCCGCUAGAGCAUGAUGGGACAAGGACAUCCCUGCGGGCCAAAACCCUCCCCUAACCUGGACAACGCUGGGCCAAUUGUGUGCCGCCCCAUGGGUCUCCCGGUCGCGGUCUUGUGGCACAGCUAGCAACUGCGAUGCACUAAUAUGAGGAAAUAUAUUUUCGUAUAUAAACUGACGGCCAAAUUAUGACACAAAUCAUUUGAACUGCGAGGCUGGUAACUCUAAUGAACUUAUCCUCUGCAGCAGAGGUAACUCUGGGUCUUCCUUUCCUGUGGUGGUCCUCAUGACAGCCAGGUAACUCUAAUGAACGUGUCCUCUGCAGCAGAGGUAACUCUGGGUCUUCCUUUCCUGUGGUGGUCCUCAUGACAGCCAGGUAACUCUAAUGAACGUGUCCUCUGCAGCAGAGGUAACUCUGGGUCUUCCUUUCCUGUGGUGGUCCUCAUGACAGCCAGGUAACUCUAAUGAACGUGUCCUCUGCAGCAGAGGUAACUCUGGGUCUUCCUUUCCUGUGGUGGUCCUCAUGAGAGCCAGGUAACUCUAAUGAACGUGUCCUCUGCAGCAGAGGUAACUCUGGGUCUUCCUUUCCUGUGGUGGUCCUCAUGAGAGCCAGGUAACUCUAAUGAACGUGUCCUCUGCAGCAGAGGUAACUCUGGGUCUUCCUUUCAUAGUGCUUGACGUUUUUUGCAAUUGCACAUGAAGAAACCUUUAAAAAGUUCUUGAAAUUUUCCAGAUUGACUGACCUUCAUGUCUUAAAGUAGUGAUGGAUUGUCGUAUCUCUUUGCUUAUUUGAGCUCUUCUUGCCAUAAUGUAGACUUGAGCUGUGUUUGAAUACCCAUUCUAACAUAGUGUAUACUACAUAUUUAAUGAGUAUAUACUACAUACUAUUAGUUCAUUUUAGUAUACUGGAAACGAAUGGUAUCCUUUCAGUUGAGCUACGCCUGUCUACCGGAAAGUUGAUGCUUUCGCUAUGCAACCGCUUGUUAUUUUAACAAAUUGCUAGCUAAACAUUUUACGAUUUCGGGUUUGUUCGUAAAUUCAGACUCUCGGAGCGUUCAGAGCGCACACUGGACUGGCGGAGGAGCUACGGUUGAUCCGAGGGUUCAACCGGCAGUCAAGCACUGGCUAACGUUGGCUAGUUAUUCCAGACACAUCAUGAGAGAACACCUCACUCUGACCAUUUUACUCCCCCAAUCAGAGCUGGUUAGGUUGUUUGUGUUAUCCAGAGCGUUGGUGACUAAAUGUGCUGCUGGCAACAAUUUAAUUACGCUUUUUUUUUGCUGAUGUUUACUGACACCGGCCAUAUUCAACAGGUGUUGAAUGUUUGUAAAUUCAUCAGUUAUUCUGCGGGAGAAAUCAGAGUAGAUAGCUAAGUGGUAAAGUUGUACGAUUCAAUGGCUAAUGAUGUCAAUAAACGUUGUUGGGUAGUUUAGUUAAUAUACUGCCUGGCAUGUUCGAUGUAUUAGUAGCUAGCUAACAUACCGGUACAUACUGCUGUAAUGCUAAUGCGGUUCGUAAGGACAGCAUAGCUAACAAAUUGUCAGCCAACAUAACGUGUAACGUAUUUGAAAAGGCAUUACUUUAUUACAUAUUUCAAUUUUCUUAACAUAUGUUUAUAAGCAAUGAAUUUGUGUCUGACUUUGGCUGCAUAUUUUCCACCAUUUUUAAUCUAAUCUGAAAACACGAAGCCACGCCCAUUUUCUGAAUAAUUGCAUUAUGGGUCCUAUAAGCAUGGAAAUAGUGUCCACUGCACGUAUACUUAGUAUUUUGGCGAAUUUAGUACGUCAUCCGGGAGCUUUUGGCAUACUAACCUAUGACCAAUAAGUAUACUAUAUACUCAAUUCACUUCACAAAUAGUAGUGUUAGGGAAGUCAGUAGAAGUAUUCAAACACAGCUUUGGUCUUACCAAAUAGGGAUCUUUCUGUAUACCACCCCUACCUUGUCACAGCACAACUGAUUGGCUUAAACAAGGCACACCUGUUAAUUGAAAUGCAUUCCAGGUGACUACCUCGUGAAGCUGGUUGAGAGAAUGCAACGAGUGUGCAAAGUUGUCAUUAAGCCAAAAGGUGGCUAC